AACAAAAACCUAAAACCCAAAACAGCAGCAUUGAGAGAGGGGAGAGCCUCUCUCUCAUUUCUUCUCUCUCGAAUCCAAAAAGGGAUGGUUGAUAUCUGUAAGUUGACCCAUGUAAUGGUGGCCGUCUAGCCAUAAGGAGACUGGCUCAACCCAUCCUCCUGGUAUGGUGCUCGGAUGUCCUCAUCACUUCUACCUUUACGAGAUCAUGAUGGCGAUUAUAGCAAAUGAUGAAUUUGGUAAUUUCUACCAAUGUGUAUGUUGAGGCAUCCUUAAACCAUUUAUUUGGAAGGGUGAAUCUUGAAUGUGCCUCAGUGGAUGUACUUACUUGGGAGGUGGAGGCUUUAUGUUGGCAGACCUAUCCAUUACCCUAAGUGAUUUUUUAUAAUUUUUUCUUCUAAAAUCUUUUGAAUUACUUAAAAAUGUUUUUUCUCCCCCAUUUGUUAUGUUCCUUACCUCUAGUUGACUUACUAUUAUUGAUCUUAUGCAACCAGACCCAUUGCUACCUUGAACAGCAUUUUGAAUGAUGAGAAUGAGAAAUGAACAGUUAUCCCUGUCUGAUUCAGUAAUGCUGAUACUUCUCAAAUCUGACACUUUGCUGUACUUAUCUUUCAUUUGAACCAAUUUGAUAAGUCAUAUUUUGUAAGCCUCUAAUUGGCUUAUCUUGUAAUAUCAACCUCAGGUUUUGGUUGUUACCUCAAGAUUCGUGCAUUCUGCUCUCUCUUGGCACUUUAGAGUUCAGACACCUUGGCACUCAAUGCUACAUGACACUCCAAACCAUGCAUAGCCUUUUUGCUGUGCCCAGCUGAUGUCAUUGAACAAUGUUUCAUGCUAGGCACUUUAACCUUAGGCAAGGGCAACACAUGCACAGAGGAUUCCCGUAUCAAUUUUUCUUGGAAAGCUUACCUGUGGUUUGGCUCCCCAAUAUGCACAAUGUCAAAUAUUGCACAAUAACUCCAAAAAACAAAGCUUGUGUUUCUGGAUUUCAUUGGAUCCUCGUCUCUGCUUCAUUUUACAAUAUUGUUGCUUGGUUGGCCAAACAAGUUCUCUUAAAUGCAAAAUGUGACGAAAACACUACAUGUCGUGUCACAAAGAAGUGGAAAAAUGUUACUUUUGAAAGUUCCAUUGGACUUUGAGUAACCAUGGACCGUUUUGGAGAUGGGGGUUGUAAUGAGCUAGGCUGCCUAGCCCGGCUUGAUCCGAUAGAGCUAGGGUUUGGGCCCCUAAACUUGGCCAGGCCUGCAUUCUGGCUUUAGCAUCUAGACCAGGCCAAUGCCAAUGAUGAAUGUCUCAGCUCGAUCCAAUCAUCAAGUGGUGUUACUAUUUCACAAAAGAAUGGAUGAUUUGAAGACAGUUGUGAGUAGUCCCUUUCAACACCUGCAACUUCAAAGAUGUUUUGGAUACAAGAUCAUGUUUCUAUAAUAAAUUCGUUUUUCUGAUGGGAUACCCUGUGGUGGAGGGUAUGCUGGAAUUUUUUUUUGUAGCUUUUGAUUAUUUGAAAACUUUGAUCACGACACUUUUUCCUCAGAUGGGUGACUCUAUAGAGCUCAAGGGACUAGGUUGUGACCAGAACUCAAAAGGAUAGGGGUAGUGCCAAUGUUGUCGUUGUUACCUGAAGACAUCUAUUUUCUAGGAUUUUUCCAUGCACUUGACGCUCAUAGCCAUGGCACGACACUUCGAAAUUUAUAUGGAUGAAGUGUCCUACUAAUGACAUUGAAAAGUGUUGCAUGUUAUAUGGACAAGGUGUCCUAACAAUAGCAUUUUGUCCCCCUUUUGUUAUGUAAAUUUCUAUAGUCAAGCCAUAAAUCUCUCAAUCUUAACCUUCUAAAUUCCCUCAAUUUCUCAAUUAUCAACAAUAAUGGAGGAUCGAACAACUGGCUUUGACUGCAACGACGAGUCCAAUUUCUGAGAUUGGAAGAGGUGCUGUGAGUUGUUGAGAUGGUUUCAAAAAAUUCUCUGUUAUUGUUGGCAGGCAGCAAGUUUUUUUAUGGAGAGUUCUAUGGCAAGAGACGUCAAUGAUGCGAGUUGCUAUAGGCAACGAUGUUGAUUUCGGCAAAUUCUGGCAGCUACAGAUGACAAUGUUCACCCUCAUGGAUUGCCGACCCGUCGUUUAUUAUUAUUUUUUUAGUGAAAUAUAAUUAGGGUUUUUGGAACGGGGCUUUCUAUUAUGUCAACAAAAAACAAAGGCAUUGUGUUUUGAUGGCGCCAGUGAUGGCACAAGAAAGGCCUUUUUGUGCGGUGGUCACAAACAAAAACCCCUGCAGUAAGGUUUUUGCAUGACCUGUAUUGUUGACGAUAAACAAUGUGAGGUUCAAUAAGGUCGAACAAUGCAAACAAAGCGAGGGUUGCUGCAGGGUGCUAGAUCGUCAACAAUAUAUGGAAUCUUCAAACAUGUGCUUUGAUUACUGUUGAUUCUCUGUUUCUAAUUGCUUGUGCUCGUCCAUGAACUGAACCCCUGUAUGGCUACAAUUAUUUAUAUAGGUCCAUUGAAUUUUAGUCGUUUGAGGUUUAUUCUUGUUUCUAGCUGAAGAUAUUGGUCUCAUUCAAUUGUUAUGACAUACGAUCAGGUCUCUCCCAUUUAUUGCUGUAGACUCUUUCAAUUAUUUUAAGGUGAUAAAUUAUGUC
This is a long non-coding RNA of Magnolia sinica, 2622 nucleotides long. RefSeq lists it as uncharacterized. The transcript is spliced from 5 exons. The record is from RefSeq and is a predicted model, not a curated record. NCBI's taxonomy places the organism in Eukaryota, Viridiplantae, Streptophyta, Magnoliopsida, Magnoliales, Magnoliaceae.